This 399-nucleotide ribosomal RNA is filed under the name uncultured bacterium. Its description in RNAcentral is "bacterial SSU rRNA". It matches the Rfam family "Bacterial small subunit ribosomal RNA", at positions 30 to 429 of the family's 1533-position model. The record is from RNAcentral.
AUUGAACGCUGGCGGCAUGCCUUACACAUGCAAGUCGAACGGCAGCACGGGAGCAAUCCUGGUGGCGAGUGGCGAACGGGUGAGUAAUAUAUCGGAACGUGCCCGGUCGUGGGGAUAACGUAGCGAAAGCUACGCUAAUACCGCAUACGAUCUACGGAUGAAAGCGGGGGGAUCGCAAGACCUCGCGCGAUUGGAGCGGCCGAUAUCAGAUUAGGUAGUUGGUGAGGUAAAGGCUCACCAAGCCGACGAUCUGUAGCUGGUCUGAGAGGACGACCAGCCACACUGGGACUGAGACACGGCCCAGACUCCUACGGGAGGCAGCAGUGGGGAAUUUUGGACAAUGGGCGCAAGCCUGAUCCAGCAAUGCCGCGUGCAGGAUGAAGGCCUUCGGGUUGUAAC